AGUGAACGCUGGCGGUAGGCCUAACACAUGCAAGUCGAACGGCAGCACAGUAAGAGCUUGCUCUUACGGGUGGCGAGUGGCGGACGGGUGAGGAAUACAUCGGAAUCUACUUUUUCGUGGGGGAUAACGUAGGGAAACUUACGCUAAUACCGCAUACGACCUACGGGUGAAAGCAGGGGAUCUUCGGACCUUUCGCGAUUGAAUGAGCCGAGGUCGGAUUAGCUAGUUGGCGGGGUAAAGGCCCACCAAGGCGACGAUCCGUAGCUGGUCUGAGAGGAUGAGCAGCCACACUGGAACUGAGACACGGUCCAGACUCCUACGGGAGGCAGCAGUGGGGAAUAUUGGACAAUGGGAGCAAGCAUGAUCCAGCCAUACCGCGUGGGUGAAGAAGGCCUUCGGGUUGUAAAGCCCUUUUGUUGGGAAAGAAAAGAAGCAGGUUAAUACCCCGCUGUUCUGACGGUACCCAAAGAAUAAGCACCGGCUAACUUCGUG
RNAcentral lists this ribosomal RNA (492 nucleotides) under uncultured bacterium. RNAcentral's name for it is "partial 16S ribosomal RNA". It matches the Rfam family "Bacterial small subunit ribosomal RNA", at positions 29 to 507 of the family's 1533-position model. The record is from RNAcentral.